Small nuclear RNA from Molossus molossus (Pallas's mastiff bat), 105 nucleotides. NCBI's taxonomy places the organism in Eukaryota, Metazoa, Chordata, Mammalia, Chiroptera, Molossidae. The record is from RefSeq and is a predicted model, not a curated record.
GCUUGCUUCAGCAAGACAUAUACUAAAAUUGGAGCAAUACAGAGAAGAUUAGCAUGGUCCCUGCAAAUUUGUGAAGCAUUCAUUUUAAAUAUUUUUUCUUUAUUU